GGCGGUAUAGCCAAGUGGUAAGGCAGAGGAUUGCAAAUCCUAUAUCCCCAGUUCAAAUCCGGGUGCCGCCU
RNAcentral lists this transfer RNA (71 nucleotides) under Leontynka pallida. RNAcentral's name for it is "tRNA-Cys". It matches the Rfam family "tRNA". Rfam says of the family: Transfer RNA (tRNA) molecules are approximately 80 nucleotides in length. Their secondary structure includes four short double-helical elements and three loops (D, anti-codon, and T loops). The record is from RNAcentral. Lineage: Eukaryota; Viridiplantae; Chlorophyta; Chlorophyceae; Chlamydomonadales.